CCUACGGGUGGCAGCAGUGGGGAAUAUUGGGCAAUGGAGGAAACUCUGACCCAGCAACGCCGCGUGAAUGAUGAAGGUCUUCGGAUUGUAAAGUUCUUUUCUAAGGGAAGAAGAAAGUGACGGUACCUUAGGAAUAAGCCUCGGCUAACUACGUGCCAGCAGCCGCGGUAAUACGUAGGAGGCGAGCGUUAUCCGGAAUGACUGGGCGUAAAGGGUGCGUAGGUGGUUUGGCAAGUUAGUAGCGUAACUCCAAGGCUCAACCUCUUCGAGCCGUUGAAACUGGUUUUCUUGAGUGAGCGAGAAGUAUGCGGAAUGCGUGGUGUAGCGGUGAAAUGCAUAGAUAUCACGCAGAACUCCGAUUGCGAAGGCAGCAUACCGGCGCUCAACUGACGCUCAUGCACGAAAGUGUGGGUAUCGAACAGGAUUAGAUACCCCAGUAGUC
This 442-nucleotide ribosomal RNA is filed under the name uncultured bacterium. RNAcentral describes it as "partial 16S ribosomal RNA". It matches the Rfam family "Bacterial small subunit ribosomal RNA", at positions 338 to 795 of the family's 1533-position model. The record is from RNAcentral.